Molecule: ribosomal RNA, 414 nt
Filed under: uncultured eukaryote
Lineage: Eukaryota
Description: bacterial SSU rRNA
Rfam family: Eukaryotic small subunit ribosomal RNA
Source: RNAcentral
CAAUAGCGUAUAUUAAAGUUGUUGCAGUUAAAAGCUCGUAGUUGGAUUUCGGAGUGGGCCAGUUGGUCCGCCGCAAGGUGUGUUACUGACUGGUUUGCUCUUCUUCGCAAAGACUGCGUGUGCUCUUGAGUGAGUGUGCGUAGAAUUUACGACGUUUACUUUGAAAAAUUAGAGUAUUCAAAGCAGGCUAUUGCUUGAAUACAUGAGCAUGGAAUAAUGGAAUAGGACUUUGGUCCCAUUUUGUUGGUUUUCGGAGCGCGAGGUAAUGAUUAAGAGGGACAGACGGGGGCGUCCGUACUCUGCCGUUAGAGGUGAAAUUCUUGGAUCGGCGGAAGACGAACUACUGCGAAAGCAUUCGCCAAGAAUGUUUUCUUUAAUCAAGAGCGAAAGUCAGAGGUUCGAAGAUGAUCAGAU